GNANUGGGCGAAAGCCUGAUGCAGCGACGCCGCGUGGGGGAUGAAGCUUCUCGGAGUGUAAACCCCUUUCGACCCGGACGAAUGCCCCGCAAGGGGACUGACGGUACGGGUAUAAGAAGCCCCGGCUAACUACGUGCCAGCAGCCGCGGUAAGACGUGGGGGGCCAGCGUUGCUCGGAAUUACUGGGUGUAAAGGGUUCGUAGGCGGUGUGGCAAGUCGGGAGUGAAAUCUCUGGGCUUAACUCAGAGACUGCUUCCGAAACUGCUGUGCUUGAGUGUGGGAGAGGCGCGUGGAAUUGCAGGUGUAGCGGUGAAAUGCGUAGAUAUCUGCAGGAACACCCGUGGCGAAAGCGGCGCGCUGGACCAUUACUGACGCUGAGGAACGAAAGCUAGGGGAGCAAACAGGAUUAGAUACCCUGGUAGUCCUAGCCCUAAACGAUCAGGACUUGGGGUGCCACCCGUUCGGGUGUCGUCCCGGAGCUAACGCGUUAAGUCCUGCACCUGGGGAGUACGGUCGCAAGACUGAAACUCAAAGAAAUUGACGGA
Molecule: ribosomal RNA, 545 nt
Filed under: uncultured bacterium
Lineage: Bacteria
Description: bacterial SSU rRNA
Rfam family: Bacterial small subunit ribosomal RNA
Source: RNAcentral